AACCUCACUCCACUUGGGUUUUUGCCUGAGUGGUGGUGUAUUGGGUGUUGCCUUGCUAAAGGCUCGCCUUAAAAGUAUAAGCGCCUUGGAUGUAAUACGUUUCAUCCUUUCGGGUGGCUGAUAACCCCACAUAUCUCAUG
RNAcentral lists this unclassified non-coding RNA (140 nucleotides) under uncultured Vishniacozyma. RNAcentral's name for it is "sequence contains ITS2". The record is from RNAcentral. Lineage: Eukaryota; Fungi; Basidiomycota; Tremellomycetes; Tremellales; Bulleribasidiaceae.